RNAcentral lists this microRNA precursor (95 nucleotides) under Loxodonta africana (African savanna elephant). RNAcentral's name for it is "miRNA (ENSLAFG00000024530.1)". The record is from RNAcentral. Lineage: Eukaryota; Metazoa; Chordata; Mammalia; Proboscidea; Elephantidae.
ACAGUGCUUGGCACAUAGUAGGUGCUCAGUAAGCGUUCAUGGUUGAAUUAAUGCAAUGGGUACUCACUUCCUUCAUUUUCUUAGCUAAGCUCGGG